CCCAGUGGGUACAGCUGUGAGAAGCAGGGCAGAGGGUAAGGGCUGUGGAGAUGGAAGCAGCUGAUUCAAUGUUUCCAGGUGUGUUUGUCUUCACAGCUGCUGGUUGUGCAUAGCUCCUGCAGCUACCCAGGAAAGCUGCUUUUCCAGUAGCUUCUCCAGCCUUCAUUAUCCUCACACUAAGCACUAGAGUCACACUGCGACAUUGAGCAUAUGGACUUGUCCAACAAGAACCUGCACUUCCCCACAGGCACAGCCUUGUGGAGUCACACAGCUUUUCUUCACAAUGGAAAUCUGUGUGUACAUCAUGAAGAAGAUAAAUAUGUGUAUGAAGAAGUGUCCCCGGGGUCUUUUCCAAAGCAAUGAAGCAUCCUUGUUUCAGGUUACAAUGGCAGCUUGAGGGCAGCAUUUCCAUCCAGAAGAAAAUGGCUGUGACUCUUCAUAAAUAGAGCCCUUCUUGGAAAAUGAGAUAAAAUGCAUAACCAGGAAUGUGUUAACCGAAGAGAGAAGAGAAACAUCAGCAAAAUGAAAAUGAACGGCUGACACAUAGUUGGGGAAAGGUUACCAGUGGGAAUUUCUUUGUCUGAAUGGAUGUUUUGUUGUAUAAAUAGAUGUGUUUUUGUCAUUAUAUGAGUUGCUAGUAUUAAUUAAAAUGGUAAUCAAAUUUCCCUCGUGUUUUUCACACCUGAAAAUUAUAGUCCUUCACACAUCUGUAAGGAUUCACUGAGUCAGAGUUUUCUUUUAAUGUUCAGGUACCAGCUAAUUAGACUGUGCAUUUAAAGUGGGGUUGUUCUAUGUUGUUUUUUUUUUUUUUCUCAGUGGUUUUGAGUAGAAAUGUUAGGCGGCUGCAACAGAGCAGUAGCAAUGCUUUGUGACUGACAAAGCAUGUCAUAUUAUAAAGUCCACAAUAGGUUUUGCAUGCCCAGCACCUUUUUAUAAAUGCAGGCUCUGGGCAAAUGUCAAAUGGGAGAAAGAGCUGCUGGCCAGCCUAGCAGAGGGAUGCUGCUGCAUUGUCUCUGUGAAACAAGAUGACUGAAGGUUGUGGCCUGCAGCCUGGCUGUGUGAUGAACUCUCCGGUGUUUGCUUCUUGCCUCCCCCAGCUUCUUGAUUGAUACUGAUAGCAGCAGAAGAAAUGUGCACACUUACAUCCAUUUUAUAAAAUGCAUUGGCCCAGACCUAACCACUGGGCAUUCCAGGGGCUGUUGUCUGCCACUUUGUCCCUCAGAUACUCAGGGAAAUUCAUGGACUUUCAAGUCUAGCAAUUACAUUAUGCCUUUACAAGAAGGGAAGGAAAUAGGAUGAUACUUCUAACAGUAAUUAAAAGCCAAGGAUAAAUUGUGAGCAUAAGUUGUAGCUGCUGGUUACAAGUGCUCCCCACACUGACUCAGCUUCCGGUUCUGGACCUUCUAUUGUUUCACAUCCUGAAUUCUGAGUAAAAGUCCAGAAUUUUACCUAAGCCAACAAAUAUUCCCUAGAGGAGGAAUACACUUCUGAGCCUACUGUACAGGAGAGACAGAACUGGGGAGUGAAGAAUGAAAACUGUAGGCGCACAAGGACCUGUUUUCUCACUAUGUAGUUGGGGUUUUGUUUGGUUGGGUUUGAAAUGUGCAGAUUUCAUCUCAUUACUUUUUCAACAUAUUAGUGUCAUGCCUCCUUUCACACAUAGCUAAAAGAAUGAAGGCCUUCUAUAGUUGAUUUUCUCACAUUUCCAUUAGCUUGGGUAUGUGUUUUCAGUAAUUUCUUUGAAAAGUGUUAGGUGGCUUAUUCCUCUGCUUUCUGAGUUAGAGUGCUUGUCUCUGCAUAAGAAAAAAAUAUUGCCUAUUUGUUAAUUUCAUUAUAAUUUUGUUUGUUGUUAGAAUGAUAUGUUAUUUUUGUAUUAUUUCACAGGAAUUAAUGCGUUUAGAUAGCAUAACCUGAGAUACUGAGGGGGAACCCUUAUGGGAUCUUUCACCUUCACAGAAGCAAAUAAUAUUCUGAACAUCAGCACCAUGAUAUUCAUCUAUCGGUUGCUCUCAAGAAUGCUGCAAAAGAGGCAGUCACUUCCUUAAGGUGUUUGUAUGGGGGCAGUAUAUACCACCAAACGAAGUAACAACUGAUGGGAUUAAAAGGUUUCCAGAGAAGGACUUCU
Taeniopygia guttata (zebra finch) is the source of this 2125-nucleotide long non-coding RNA. NCBI's taxonomy places the organism in Eukaryota, Metazoa, Chordata, Aves, Passeriformes, Estrildidae. The record is from Ensembl.